AGAGUUUGAUCAUGGCUCAGAUUGAACGCUGGCGGCAGGCCUAACACAUGCAAGUCGAGCGGUAGCACAGAGAGCUUGCUCUCGGGUGACGAGCGGCGGACGGGUGAGUAAUGUCUGGGAAACUGCCUGAUGGAGGGGGAUAACUACUGGAAACGGUAGCUAAUACCGCAUAACGUCGCAAGACCAAAGUGGGGGACCUUCGGGCCUCAUGCCAUCAGAUGUGCCCAGAUGGGAUUAGCUAGUAGGUGGGGUAACGGCUCACCUAGGCGACGAUCCCUAGCUGGUCUGAGAGGAUGACCAGCCACACUGGAACUGAGACACGGUCCAGACUCCUACGGGAGGCAGCAGUGGGGAAUAUUGCACAAUGGGCGCAAGCCUGAUGCAGCCAUGCCGCGUGUGUGAAGAAGGCCUUCGGGUUGUAAAGCACUUUCAGCGGGGAGGAAGGCGGUGAGGUUAAUAACCUCAUCGAUUGACGUUACCCGCAGAAGAAGCACCGGCUAACUCCGUGCCAGCAGCCGCGGUAAUACGGAGGGUGCAAGCGUUAAUCGGAAUUACUGGGCGUAAAGCGCACGCAGGCGGUCUGUCAAGUCGGAUGUGAAAUCCCCGGGCUUAACCUGGGAACUGCAUUCGAAACUGGCAGGCUAGAGUCUUGUAGAGGGGGGUAGAAUUCCAGGUGUAGCGGUGAAAUGCGUAGAGAUCUGGAGGAAUACCGGUGGCGAAGGCGGCCCCCUGGACAAAGACUGACGCUCAGGUGCGAAAGCGUGGGGAGCAAACAGGAUUAGAUACCCUGGUAGUCCACGCCGUAAACGAUGUCGAUUUGGAGGUUGUGCCCUUGAGGCGUGGCUUCCGGAGCUAACGCGUUAAAUCGACCGCCUGGGGAGUACGGCCGCAAGGUUAAAACUCAAAUGAAUUGACGGGGGCCCGCACAAGCGGUGGAGCAUGUGGUUUAAUUCGAUGCAACGCGAAGAACCUUACCUGGUCUUGACAUCCACAGAACUUAGCAGAGAUGCUUUGGUGCCUUCGGGAACUGUGAGACAGGUGCUGCAUGGCUGUCGUCAGCUCGUGUUGUGAAAUGUUGGGUUAAGUCCCGCAACGAGCGCAACCCUUAUCCUUUGUUGCCAGCGGUCCGGCCGGGAACUCAAAGGAGACUGCCAGUGAUAAACUGGAGGAAGGUGGGGAUGACGUCAAGUCAUCAUGGCCCUUACGACCAGGGCUACACACGUGCUACAAUGGCAUAUACAAAGAGAAGCGACCUCGCGAGAGCAAGCGGACCUCAUAAAGUAUGUCGUAGUCCGGAUUGGAGUCUGCAACUCGACUCCAUGAAGUCGGAAUCGCUAGUAAUCGUAGAUCAGAAUGCUACGGUGAAUACGUUCCCGGGCCUUGUACACACCGCCCGUCACACCAUGGGAGUGGGUUGCAAAAGAAGUAGGUAGCUUAACCUUCGGGAGGGCGCUUACCACUUUGUGAUUCAUGACUGGGGUGAAGUCGUAACAAGGUAACCGUAGGGGAACCUGCGGUUGGAUCACCU
RNAcentral lists this ribosomal RNA (1528 nucleotides) under Klebsiella pneumoniae CHS 46. Its description in RNAcentral is "bacterial SSU rRNA". It matches the Rfam family "Bacterial small subunit ribosomal RNA". Lineage: Bacteria; Pseudomonadati; Pseudomonadota; Gammaproteobacteria; Enterobacterales; Enterobacteriaceae. The record is from RNAcentral.